CCUACGGGAGACAGCAGUGAGGAAUAUUGGUCAAUGGGCGGGAGCCUGAACCAGCCAAGUCGCGUGAGGGAAGACGGUCCUAUGGAUUGUAAACCUCUUUAGGCGGGGAGCAAUGCCGGGCACGCGUGCCCGGAGGGAGAGUACCCGCAGAAUAAGCAUCGGCUAACUCCGUGCCAGCAGCCGCGGUAAUACGGAGGAUGCGAGCGUUAUCCGGAUGUAUUGGGUUUAGAGGGUGCGUAGGCGGAUUUUUAAGUCAGCGGUAAAAUGUCCGGGCUCAACCCGGGCCGGCCGUUGAAACUGGGGAUCUUGAGUGGGCGAGAAGUAUGCGGAAUGCGUGGUGUAGCGGUGAAAUGCAUAGAUAUCACGCAGAACUCCGAUUGCGAAGGCAGCAUACCGGCGCCCGACUGACGCUGAGGCACGAAAGCGUGGGGAUCGAACAGGAUUAGAUACCCGAGUAGUC
RNAcentral lists this ribosomal RNA (460 nucleotides) under uncultured bacterium. Its description in RNAcentral is "partial 16S ribosomal RNA". It matches the Rfam family "Bacterial small subunit ribosomal RNA", at positions 338 to 795 of the family's 1533-position model. The record is from RNAcentral.